ACACUAAUUAACUUCAUAUAUAUGUGGGCUUGUAUUUUGUGUUGCAAUGUUUUUUGUUAUCUUAUAUGAUUAUAUCUCAAGUAAGAUGGAGCCUACAGUAUUAUUGUAUUAAUUAAUACAGGGUUAUGAUCUAACUCACUCGCAGUAGAAUGACUUAAAAAGAGUUUGUGUUCAUGCAGAGACCAGUUGGUUUCCGUGUAGCAUCAGGUGUUGGAGCGGUUAAUGGACUUGUAUUAGAGAUCAUUUUAACAUUUGGCUUAGUGUACGUCGUGUAUUCGACUUUGAUUGAUCCAAAGCGUGGAAGCCUCGGGAUCAUAGCACCACUUGCAAUCGGACUCAUAGUUGGGGCAAACAUCUUAGUAGGUGGACCAUUUUCUGGUGCUUCGAUGAAUCCAGCUAGAGCCUUUGGUCCAGCAUUGGUGGGAUGGAGAUGGCAUGACCACUGGAUCUACUGGGUCGGGCCAUUCAUCGGUA
RNAcentral lists this long non-coding RNA (474 nucleotides) under Arabidopsis lyrata. Its description in RNAcentral is "long non-coding RNA (ALYR_LNC002870)". Lineage: Eukaryota; Viridiplantae; Streptophyta; Magnoliopsida; Brassicales; Brassicaceae. The record is from RNAcentral.